Molecule: ribosomal RNA, 497 nt
Filed under: uncultured bacterium
Lineage: Bacteria
Description: partial 16S ribosomal RNA
Rfam family: Bacterial small subunit ribosomal RNA
Source: RNAcentral
GAUGAACGCUGGCGGCGUGCCUAAUACAUGCAAGUCGAGCGAACAGACGAGGAGCUUGCUCCUCUGACGUUAGCGGCGGACGGGUGAGUAACACGUGGAUAACCUACCUAUAAGACUGGGAUAACGUCGGGAAACCGGAGCUAAUACCGGAUAAUAUAUUGAACCGCAUGGUUCAAUAGUGAAAGACGGUUUUGCUGUCACUUAUAGAUGGAUCCGCGCCGCAUUAGCUAGUUGGUAAGGUAACGGCUUACCAAGGCAACGAUGCGUAGCCGACCUGAGAGGGUGGUCGGCCACACUGGAACUGAGACACGGUCCAGACUCCUACGGGAGGCAGCAGUAGGGAAUCUUCCGCAAUGGGCGAAAGCCUGACGGAGCAACGCCGCGUGAGUGAUGAAGGUCUUCGGAUCGUAAAACUCUGUUAUUAGGGAAGAACAAAUGUGUAAGUAACUAUGCACGUCUUGACGGUACCUAAUCAGAAAGCCACGGCUAACUACGUG